AAGCUGACGGAUCACGCCGGUGAACGAUGAAGGUCUCGGAUCGUAAAGUUCUGUUGUCAGGGAAGAACAGUGCCGUGCGAAUAGAGCGGCACUUGACGGUACCUGACGAGGAAGCCCCGGCUAACUACGUGCCAGCAGCCGCGGUAAUACGUAGGGGGCAAGCGUUGUCCGGAAUUAUUGGGCGUAAAGCGCGCGCAGGCGGUUCCUUAAGUCUGAUGUGAAAGCCCACGGCUCAACCGUGGAGGGUCAUUGGAAACUGGGGAACUUGAGUACAGAAGAGGAGAGUGGAAUUCCACGUGUAGCGGUGAAAUGCGUAGAUAUGUGGAGGAACACCAGUGGCGAAGGCGACUCUCUGGUCUGUAACUGACGCUGAGGCGCGAAAGCGUGGGGAGCAAACAGGAUUAGAUACCCUGGUAGUCCACGCCGUAAACGAUGAGUGCUAGGUGUUAGGGGGCUUCCAACCCUUAGUGCUGAAGUUAACGCAUUAAGCACUCCGCCUGGGGAGUACGGCCUGCAGGCUGAAACUCAAAGGAAUUGACGGGGGCCCGCACAAGCGGUGGAGCAUGUGGUUUAAUUCGGAAGCAACGCGAAGAACCUUACCAGGU
This 605-nucleotide ribosomal RNA is filed under the name uncultured bacterium. RNAcentral describes it as "bacterial SSU rRNA". It matches the Rfam family "Bacterial small subunit ribosomal RNA", at positions 380 to 979 of the family's 1533-position model. The record is from RNAcentral.